AGGUCUCCAAGGUGAACAG
Molecule: non-coding RNA, 19 nt
Filed under: Arabidopsis thaliana (thale cress)
Lineage: Eukaryota; Viridiplantae; Streptophyta; Magnoliopsida; Brassicales; Brassicaceae
Also listed under: 2 other names
Source: RNAcentral